GUACCCUCUAAAUACAUUUUUAUAGCCUGAGGUUUGCCUGUUCUGCCACCCUGCAAGCAGCUCUGUGGUGUGGGUCACUCUCUAGGAGAAGAGGGGCUGCAUCGGGAGAUAAAAUGUCUCUCAAAUUCUUUCAGGUGCUGUGAUCAGUGAGACCUGCUCCAGUGUGAUUUGUGAGCUGAGCCAGUGGAGAUGUUCUCCUUUGGCAGAAACACAACCCUAAGGAAUCUCCUGAGGCAAUAAUUCCUCCUUUGUCCUCAGGUGGGACCAGUCCAUCACAGCUCGGAUUCCAGUGAGACUGUUACCCCUGAGCUGCCUCCUAACCAGCUGAACUCUGAGAAAUGCCUGUUCCCCCGGCCUGGGAGGGCUCUUCCAGCCUCAGUGAUUAUCCAGAGACCAGGAGCUAUCCCCCUCAGGAUGGUGUGUUUAUUUUCCUCAGUCUCAGUGAGAGAACAGUGACCCAAAACAUCUGGAUGUAAACAAUUGCUUUCCUAAACAGUUCUCCUGUGAGCCUUUACUGUGUGAUCAGAGGAGACUGUUCCCCUUGAGUUGCAUUUUAUUCAGCUGAACUCUGAGGAAAUUCCUGUUCCCCUGGGCUCCAGCCAGCUUUACCACAGCCAGUUGAAGUUCAGUCUCCAAAGCAGGAUGUGAUUUUUGCUCAGUGUGUGAAGUUUAUCCAACAUCCCUGCCUGGUGUUCCAUCCAGCUGCUGCUCCUGACCCAAAGGUGCUGCUGCAUCCAGAGGCACA
Molecule: long non-coding RNA, 745 nt
Organism: Parus major (Great Tit)
Lineage: Eukaryota; Metazoa; Chordata; Aves; Passeriformes; Paridae
Exons: 7
Source: RefSeq, a predicted model, not a curated record